Molecule: long non-coding RNA, 236 nt
Organism: Etheostoma spectabile (orangethroat darter)
Lineage: Eukaryota; Metazoa; Chordata; Actinopteri; Perciformes; Percidae
Exons: 3
Source: RefSeq, a predicted model, not a curated record
ACUGUUUCACUUUAGCCUCUUUCCAACCAGGUAGUUACAGGAACGUAGUUAAAGGAACAGUCCACUUCUAAACAGUUCUACUACCUACUCUCCCCCAAAACCGGUUUACCAUUUGCAUUCACACUGGCCAAGUGGCCACAGGAACUGAUCUUUUGUUAUUAUAACACAGCCAUCUAACCAUCACUAUGCGGAAAGGGAAAAGACCCUGCCCUGAAGUAGGAGCUGAAAGAGUUAAA